GAUGAACGCUAGCGGGAGGCCUAAUACAUGCAAGUCGAACGGGUGAAUUAGCUUCGGUUGGUUUCACUAGUAGGCGCACGGGUGAGUAACGCGUACGCAAUCUGCCCUAUGCUGGGGAAUAGCCCUGGGAAACCUGGGAGUAAUACGCCAUAGAUCUGUGGAUUCGCAUGGAUUUACAGAUAAAGCUGCGGCGGCAUAGGAUGAGCGUGCGUCUGAUUAGGUAGUUGGUGAGGUAACGGCUCGACCAAGCCGACGAUCAGUAAGGGGCGUGAGAGCGUGGCCCCUCACACGGGUACUGGAGUACACGGACCCGACUCCUACGGGAGGCAGCAGUAAGGAAUAUUGGAC
This 348-nucleotide ribosomal RNA is filed under the name uncultured bacterium. RNAcentral's name for it is "bacterial SSU rRNA". It matches the Rfam family "Bacterial small subunit ribosomal RNA", at positions 28 to 369 of the family's 1533-position model. The record is from RNAcentral.